This 464-nucleotide ribosomal RNA is filed under the name uncultured bacterium. RNAcentral's name for it is "bacterial SSU rRNA". It matches the Rfam family "Bacterial small subunit ribosomal RNA", at positions 28 to 490 of the family's 1533-position model. The record is from RNAcentral.
GAUGAACGCUGGCGGCGUGCUUAACACAUGCAAGUCGAACGAAACACCUUAUUUGAUUUUCUUCGGAACUGAAGAUUUGGUGAUUGAGUGGCGGACGGGUGAGUAACGCGUGGGUAACCUGCCCUGUACAGGGGGAUAACAGUCAGAAAUGACUGCUAAUACCGCAUAAGACCACAGCACCGCAUGGUGCAGGGGUAAAAACUCCGGUGGUACAGGAUGGACCCGCGUCUGAUUAGCUGGUUGGUGAGGUAACGGCUCACCAAGGCGACGAUCAGUAGCCGGCUUGAGAGAGUGAACGGCCACAUUGGGACUGAGACACGGCCCAAACUCCUACGGGAGGCAGCAGUGGGGAAUAUUGCACAAUGGGGGAAACCCUGAUGCAGCGACGCCGCGCGAGUGAAGAAGUAUCUCGGUAUGUAAAGCUCUAUCAGCAGGGAAGAAAAUGACGGUACCUGACUAAGAAG